CCUACGGGGGGCAGCAGUGGGGAAUUUUGGACAAUGGGGGCAACCCUGAUCCAGCCAUUCCGCGUGAGUGAAGAAGGCCUUCGGGUUGUAAAGCUCUUUUGUCCGGAGCGAAACGGGCGGCCCUAAUACGGUCGUCUACUGACGGUACCGGAAGAAUAAGCACCGGCUAACUACGUGCCAGCAGCCGCGGUAAUACGUAGGGUGCGAGCGGGAAUCGAAGUGACCGGGCGUAAAGCGUGCGGCGACAGUUGAAAUCCCCGGGCUCAACCUGGGAAUGGCAUUUGGGACUGCAAGGCUGGAGUGUGGCAGAGGGGACUAGAAUUCCUGGUGUAGCAGUGAAAUGCGUAGAUAUCAGGAGGAAUACCGAUGGCGAAGGCAGGUCCCUGGGUUAACACUGACGCUCAUGCACGAAAGCGUGGGGAGCAAACAGGAUUAGAUACCCCAGUAGUC
RNAcentral lists this ribosomal RNA (450 nucleotides) under uncultured bacterium. RNAcentral's name for it is "partial 16S ribosomal RNA". It matches the Rfam family "Bacterial small subunit ribosomal RNA", at positions 338 to 795 of the family's 1533-position model. The record is from RNAcentral.